ACGCAAUAGAUACCCCGGUAGUCCACGCCCUAAACGAUGUCUACUAGUUGUCGGGUCUUAAUUGACUUGGUAAACGCAGCUAAACGCGUGAAGUAGACCGCCUGGGGAGUACGGUCGCAAGAUUAAAACUCAAAGGAAUUGACGGGGACCCGCACAAGCGGUGGAUGAUGUGGAUUAAUUCGAUGCAACGCGAAAAACCUUACCUACCCUUGACAUGGAAGGAAUCCCUGAGAGAUCGGGGAGUGCUCGAAAGAGAACCUUUACACAGGUGCUGCAUGGCUGUCGUCAGCUCGUGUCGUGAGAUGUUGGGUUAAGUCCCGCAACGAGCGCAACCCUUGUCAUUAGUUGCUACGAAAGGGCACUCUAAUGAGACUGCCGGUGACAAACCGGAGGAAGGUGGGGAUGACGUCAAGUCCUCAUGGCCCUUAUGGGUAGGGCUUCACACGUCAUACAAUGGUACAUACAGAGGGCCGCCAACCCGCGAGGGGAGCUAAUCCCAGAAAGUGUAUCGUAGUCCGGAUUGUAGUCUGCAACUCG
This 537-nucleotide ribosomal RNA is filed under the name uncultured bacterium. RNAcentral describes it as "bacterial SSU rRNA". It matches the Rfam family "Bacterial small subunit ribosomal RNA", at positions 772 to 1314 of the family's 1533-position model. The record is from RNAcentral.